GACGAACGCUGGCGGCGUGCUUAACACAUGCAAGUCGAACGGAAAGGCCCUUCGGGGUACUCGAGUGGCGAACGGGUAAGUAACACGUGGGUGAUCUGCCCUGCACUUUGGGAUAAGCCUGGGAAACUGGGUCUAAUACCGAAUAGGACCGCGCUCUUCAUGGGGUGUGGUGGAAAGCUUUUGCGGUGUGGGAUGGGCCCGCGGCCUAUCAGCUUGUUGGUGGGGUAAUGGCCUACCAAGGCGACGACGGGUAGCCGGCCUGAGAGGGUGACCGGCCACACUGGGACUGAGAUACGGCCCAGACUCCUACGGGAGGCAGCAGUGGGGAAUAUUGCACAAUGGGCGCAAGCCUGAUGCAGCGACGCCGCGUGAGGGAUGACGGCCUUCGGGUUGUAAACCUCUUUCAGUACCGACGAAGCGCAAGUGACGGUAGGUACAGAAGAAGGACCGGCCAACUACGUGCCAGCAGCCGCGGUAAUACGUAGGGUCCGAGCGUUGUCCGGGAUUACUGGGCGUAAAGAGCUCGUAGGUGGUUUGUCGCGUUGUUCGUGAAAACUCACAGCUUAACUGUGGGCGUGCGGGCGAUACGGGCAGACUAGAGUACUGCAGGGGAGACUGGAAUUCCUGGUGUAGCGGUGGAAUGCGCAGAUAUCAGGAGGAACACCGGUGGCGAAGGCGGGUCUCUGGGCAGUAACUGACGCUGAGGAGCGAAAGCGUGGGGAGCGAACAGGAUUAGAUACCCUGGUAGUCCACGCCGUAAACGGUGGGUACUAGGUGUGGGUUUCCUUCCUUGGGAUCCGUGCCGUAGCUAACGCAUUAAGUACCCCGCCUGGGGAGUACGGCCGCAAGGCUAAAACUCAAAGGAAUUGACGGGGGCCCGCACAAGCGGCGGAGCAUGUGGAUUAAUUCGAUGCAACGCGAAGAACCUUACCUGGGUUUGACAUGCACAGGACGUGCCUAGAGAUAGGUAUUCCCUUGUGGCCUGUGUGCAGGUGGUGCAUGGCUGUCGUCAGCUCGUGUCGUGAGAUGUUGGGUUAAGUCCCGCAACGAGCGCAACCCUUGUCUCAUGUUGCCAGCACGUUAUGGUGGGGACUCGUGAGAGACUGCCGGGGUCAACUCGGAGGAAGGUGGGGAUGACGUCAAGUCAUCAUGCCCCUUAUGUCCAGGGCUUCACACAUGCUACAAUGGCCGGUACAAAGGGCUGCGAUGCCGUAAGGUGGAGCGAAUCCUUUCAAAGCCGGUCUCAGUUCGGAUCGGGGUCUGCAACUCGACCCCGUGAAGUCGGAGUCGCUAGUAAUCGCAGAUCAGCAACGCUGCGGUGAAUACGUUCCCGGGCCU
Molecule: ribosomal RNA, 1338 nt
Filed under: uncultured bacterium
Lineage: Bacteria
Description: bacterial SSU rRNA
Rfam family: Bacterial small subunit ribosomal RNA
Source: RNAcentral